Molecule: long non-coding RNA, 1070 nt
Filed under: Chinchilla lanigera (long-tailed chinchilla)
Lineage: Eukaryota; Metazoa; Chordata; Mammalia; Rodentia; Chinchillidae
Description: lncRNA (ENSCLAG00000023348.1)
Source: RNAcentral
AAUUUACCUCCAUUGUUUGCUGUGAUAGUUACUCCUCUGUGGAGUUCCUGAAACAAGGGUGAGUGAUAGCAGGCAACACUGGGGCUAUUGUUAACCUACAAUUCGGAGUAGCUUGGCCUUAAUCUAGCUCUGUUGGUCACCAAGAAGAUCCCCACCUCAAUUUUAUCUCGAAUCCAGAGGUAAACAAGUUGACUGACUGGUGACAGCCACCUCUCAUUUGACCAGGGUUUAAUAGGAUUAAAUUUAUUGAUUGACACUAACCCUGGCCAGUGUUUUGGAGCAGUCCUCCCUGAGAUCCAGGUACCUAGUGAGGUGGCCUCAUCUCCAACCCAGAAUAUGCUUUACUGGUGGUUGCCACAGUCAGUGAAUUUACCUCCAUCUGUACCAGAUAAACAGGGAAAUCUCUGCAUCAGCCUCAUUUAGUUAAAGCAUUCUUUCUUCCGAGUAUAGUGUAAUUUGUUUUACAUUUUCUUAGCCGUAAUCAUGUACCUGUUAAGCUUUCAUGUGAUUAUACCAAAUGUCCUUGAUGGAAUUUGUGAAGGACCCUUACUUCCUGUUUGUACUUACAUUCCUGGAAAAGCACCUAACUAGAGUGGGUGAGUAUUCAUACACUUCAAAGCCCGUGAUGUAAUCAGAUUUCAUUUUUUUAAGAAAAAGAACUUGAGAGGAUGGAUUCAAAAGAGGGCUGAGUCCAAAAGGUGAGAGACCAAUGUAGAGAGCAGUGGGGACAAACAGGAGGUGACUGUCCCUGGAGAGAAGCUAUGUCAGAGUCAAGGAUCAGAGCUGGCAGGGAGUGUGCAGAACACUGCUGGAUCACCAAAGCUCUUGCAAAAAGUUGCAGCAGUAGCUCAGCCAGGGAAAUUCAGACUGGCCAGUCUCUGAGAGCAAAUAUGACUGAUGGACAGUCAGCCCCUCUCUCCCUGCAAGAAAACCUCACGUCCAAUCUCUGGGAUGUUAGAGCAUUAUAUCCUUCUGAAUGCAAGCUGACUCCUGACAUAAAAACCAGAGCCCAGGGAUGUAGUGCUCUGUACAUAAACAUUGGACAUCCUGUCUGGAUUGUGCUUCUCUGA